GGGUGAAUAGUCUAGUGGUUAGGACGGUUCGUUGUGGCCUGGUUUUCCUCUCCCUUCUUCGUUGGAGAAGAGAACCAAAAUGAAACCGAACAAACCCCGGUUCGAUUCCGGGUUCGCCCA
This is a non-coding RNA of Rhypophila decipiens, 120 nucleotides long. Lineage: Eukaryota; Fungi; Ascomycota; Sordariomycetes; Sordariales; Naviculisporaceae. The record is from the annotation of a GenBank genome assembly.